UAUAGUUCCAGCUGACGCAGUGACGCACCAAAGACCUACGUAGGAUGGAUACCUACUAUUCAUUUCUUGACACACGUUUUUCAAUCUUUAAUUCCUAUCUAAUACUAUAAUAAUAACAAUAAUUUUAUUAGUUGAAACGUAUAAAAAAGCAGCUACAAAAUAAAACCAGAAAUCUACAACUCCAACGUUAAUUCCAAAAUAAAUAUUUGAUAAAGAUUGGGAUUGAAACAUCAUGAAUCCAAUGCGAAGUGGGUUAUCGCUUUUGCGGUAUUGGUAUUUUCGAUAUACUCUAGUAACCGAACUUUACAUGGUGGAAAAGUGGGAACGAAAUUUCAUCCAUGUUUUCAUGCUUGUAGUAUUCGGCUUGUUGUUCCUUUUCAAUUGCAAGGUUCUACUACCUGCAACAAUGAGUUUACUCACGUAACAAUUGGUUUGGCGAUAAAAUUGGUCCAGUUUCCGGGGCAAGACUGCAAGAUGCUUUGUUCCUGAACAUUCCAGGACUGAAUGAAUUCUUUUCCUUUUGAUUGUUAUUAUUGUUUUACAAAUAUGCUAAAUACAUUAUUUCUGCAGAUA
Venturia canescens is the source of this 573-nucleotide long non-coding RNA. RefSeq lists it as uncharacterized. The transcript is spliced from 2 exons. NCBI's taxonomy places the organism in Eukaryota, Metazoa, Arthropoda, Insecta, Hymenoptera, Ichneumonidae. The record is from RefSeq and is a predicted model, not a curated record.